Molecule: ribosomal RNA, 253 nt
Filed under: uncultured bacterium
Lineage: Bacteria
Description: partial 16S ribosomal RNA
Rfam family: Bacterial small subunit ribosomal RNA
Source: RNAcentral
UACGGGGGGGGCAAGCGUUGUUCGGAAUUACUGGGCGUAAAGGGCCAGUAGGCGGCCAACUAAGUCCGACGUGAAAUCCCCAGGCUUAACCUGGGAACUGCGUCGGAUACUGGAUGGCUUGAAUUCGGGAGAGGGAUGCAGAAUUCCAGGUGUAGCGGUGAAAUGCGCAGAUAUCAGGAGGAACACCGAUGGCGAAGGCAGGUCUCUGGGCCACUACUGACGCUGAGAAGCGAAAGCAUGGGGAGCGAACAGG